Molecule: ribosomal RNA, 829 nt
Filed under: bacterium enrichment culture clone IsoM-47
Lineage: Bacteria
Description: bacterial SSU rRNA
Rfam family: Bacterial small subunit ribosomal RNA
Source: RNAcentral
AGAGUUUGAUCAUGGCUCAGAACGAACGCUGGCGGCGUGCUUAACACAUGCAAGUCGCGCGAUUCUCGAAGUUCGGGGUUGGGAGUUCGAACCUCGAACUUCGAACCUCGAACUUCGAGAAUAGCGGCGGACGGGUGAGUAACACGUGGAUAACCUACCCAUUAGACCAGGAUAACACCGGGAAACUGGUGCUAAUACCGGAUAAGCUCUUUAGAGUAAAAGCCUUAAAGAGGAAAGGGGAAACUCACUAAUGGAUGGGUCCGCGUCCUAUUAGCUAGUUGGUAGGGUAACGGCCUACCAAGGCGACGAUGGGUAGCCGGCCUGAGAGGGUGACCGGCCACACUGGGACUGAGACACGGCCCAGACUUCUACGGGAGGCAGCAGUGGGGAAUAUUCCGCAAUGGGGGAAACCCUGACGGAGCAAUGCCGCGUGAGUGAAGAAGGCCUUUGGGUCGUAAAACUCUGUCUUGAGGGACGAAAAAAAUGACGGUACCUCAAAAGAAAGCCCCGGCUAACUACGUGCCAGCAGCCGCGGUAAAACGUAGGGGGCGAGCGUUGUCCGGAAUUACUGGGCGUAAAGGGCGUGUAGGCGGCCUGUGUAGUCAAGUGGUGAAAACCCGGGGCUUAACUUCGGGAUGGCCCUUGAAACCAACAGGCUUGAGGACAGGAGAGGGGAGUGGAAUUUCCGGUGUAGCGGUGAAAUGCGUAGAUACCGGAAAGGAACACCAGUGGCGAAGCGGCUCCCUGGCAUGGUCCUGACGCUGAGGCGCGAAAGCGUGGGGAGCAAACAGGAUUAGAUACCCUGGUAGUCCACGCCGUAAACGAUGGG